RNAcentral lists this ribosomal RNA (438 nucleotides) under uncultured bacterium. RNAcentral describes it as "bacterial SSU rRNA". It matches the Rfam family "Bacterial small subunit ribosomal RNA", at positions 338 to 773 of the family's 1533-position model. The record is from RNAcentral.
CCUACGGGGGGCAGCAGUGAGGAAUAUUGGUCAAUGGGCGGAAGCCUGAACCAGCCAAGUCGCGUGAGGGAAUAAGGCCCUACGGGUCGUAAACCUCUUUUGCCGGGGAGCAAGGGCGGGGACGUGUCCCGGCCCGGAGAGUACCCGGAGAAAAAGCAUCGGCUAACUCCGUGCCAGCAGCCGCGGUAAUACGGAGGAUGCGAGCGUUAUCCGGAUUUAUUGGGUUUAAAGGGUGCGUAGGCGGGCUUUUAAGUCAGCGGUAAAAAUUCGGGGCUCAACCCCGUCCGGCCGUUGAAACUGGGGGCCUUGAGUGGGCGAGAAGAAGGCGGAAUGCGUGGUGUAGCGGUGAAAUGCAUAGAUAUCACGCAGAACCCCGAUUGCGAAGGCAGCCUUCCGGCGCCCUACUGACGCUGAGGCACGAAAGUGCGGGGAUCGAAC